Molecule: unclassified non-coding RNA, 240 nt
Filed under: soil metagenome
Description: partial contains 5.8S ribosomal RNA, internal transcribed spacer 2, and large subunit ribosomal RNA
Source: RNAcentral
AAGACUAUAGACCUGCGGAGUACCUGCGGAGGGAUCAUUACAGAGUUGCAAAACUCCCUAAACCAUUGUGAACGUUACCUAAACCGUUGCUUCGGCGGGCGGCGCGCCCUCGCGCGCGCCCCUGGGCCCCACCGCGGGCGCCCGCCGGAGGUCACCAAACUCUUGAUAUUAAUUGGCCUCUCUGAGUCUUCUGUACUGAAUAAGUCAAAACUUUCAACAACGGAUCUCUAGAUCGGAAGA